GCACCACCAAAAUCUAGUCCCCUGGACACGUGGUCAGGAUUGAACUGUGUGGCCUAUGUAACUCUAGAACUGAACUCAAUUCACAAUCUGGGGAAUGGUGUGAACGUACCAGGCCUGGCAGAGAAAAAUCACCUGAGGAAUCCUGUUUCUAGAUUUCCAAAUCUGUCAGCGAAAUGCAGAGGAAGCAUGGGAAAUCUCUAAGGGGAGAGACAAGUUUGACCUGACAAACAGUGGCACCGAACUGACAAAUGGCUGCGAAAGCUCUUUUGUGGGUGUGUGAGUCACUGAGGUUUGGGGAAUUAUUUUCAGAGCAAUGAUUCUACUUAGUAGAGUCCCAAAAGAGAGAAAAAAAUAUAAAUCCCCUUAUGAACUGAGGACGCCAUUUACACCACAGUACACACUGCUGCCUUGUUUAUCUCUUUACCAAUUGAUUCGUCAUGUCCUUAAAGUUUAGUUUCUAACAUUGUAUGUAUAUCGUCUACAACUCCUCUAACAGCAAGAAGAUAUUGUGCUAGGCAAGGGUACAGUGGAAAGCAAGACGAUAGGAAAUCCAUGAAAAACGGUAGUAUGAGGGGCAUCAAGUCCACUGAAGAGCCACCAUCUUGAAAAGCUGGGGAAGAGUUCUGAAGCCUGUGAAUAAAUUAAAUCAACUAGAUGGUUUGGGGAGGAACAGGAAUGAGCACGGAGCACUCGAAGGUCAUGUGGGCCUCUUAGUUUAGAUUCCACUUGGACCAUUGCUUAACGUUCAUAGCUAAACCUCAAACUGAUUCUAACACUGAAAAAAAAGGAACAAAACCACAAGCAACAAAUCCCGUGGGCCCAAAUUACAUAGAUUUAUGUCAGGGCCAGGCACAAGUUACCCAGUCUUGCUGAAUGGGCCUAUUUCCCAUCCCAUACAGUAGAAAGGUAAUACCCUGCAGAGUGUUAGGAGAAAGAAUCUGUAUCCAGCCAUAACCAGCCCUUCAAGAAGCAGAAGGCAGCUCUGAGAUGCUAUGUAGCAUUGUCAGAGCUUAGGAAUCAAGCAUCCCUGGGUUCAAAUCCCAUUCUCCACUAAUAGAUGAGUUCUUUUAGGAGAGAACAUUGAAAUGAGAUGAUCUGUAUCCCCAGAUUUAGGAAGCAAUUAGCUUUUUCAGCUACCUUCAAGCAUAGAUCUUAAGUUAAAAGUGUGUCCAUGGCAUCCCACUACCUGCUUUCAUGCUGUGCCUGGUGUCUAAAGGGGCAUUUGUGCACACAACACAAAUAUUCAAACAGGAUAUCCCAAGACAUGCUACAACAUGCCAGCACCCCACACAAAGCAUUGCAUAAGACGCUUGAGUUACACAUUAUCCAGCCAGCUCCACCAUCUGAUAAACAGAGAAAAGACAGGAAGUAAAUGCACUCUGUCCAGAACACGGAGUCUCCGGACUCGUUCUUCAUUCAUGAGUCCCAGACUCCUAGUCUGCCUAGAGCCUUGGACUGCCAGCCUGCAUGCCAAAGUUACUUUUAAAAUUAAAUAUGUUGGCUUGGAUGAGUUCAGCAGCUGGUGACGUGGGUAGAGAACAAGAAGCAAAUGGGCUGUAGAUGAUCACCUCAGACCAUACCAAUCAAGUGUUCUGUGGAGGCAGGAACUAGGGGCUGAAUGAAACCACCUCUGAGGAUGGGGAAGGGAAAGAGAAGAAGGGGGGGGGGGCAUCUCAAGAAAAGGAGCAACAAGCAACAGUAGGGUACCUCUCCAGAAUGUGCCACCUUUAUUCAAAGACCCAACAGAUAGCCUGAACCUGCCAGAAGAAGGGUUCUGGGCUUGAUCCAUUUAUGAAAAUACCAACUGGACAGGCAGGUGACCUGACAAGGUCACAGGUGCUCCUUGCUUUACAAAACUCAUUGUAGGGACAGAUCUCAUAGGGUUCACAUCAGAGUGACUCUGGAGGAGAGGUAGCGUGUACAGUACAGUGAGUGGGGGUGGGGUUGGAGUAGGAGAGUACAACUGAAGGGAUGUCAGGCUGAGGGGUGUUGAAGGAUAUAACCGUGGAACCCCAUUGUUAAUCACAUCUGCAUCAGCCAAGGUCCCAUUGAUGCCAGCGCCAGCAUUACCAAAGGAUAAUGAGUUUUGGUAUUGGCAGUUCAGAGUCCCAGCAGGACCCUCAGCUGGAAAUAGAAACGUCUUCUGAGAGUCCCUAGCUAAGCCUCUACACCUCUCAGCACAUAUUCCUUACAGGAUGAGUCUCAAAAUAACCCUAUACCUCUAAACGAUCAUCCCAGACUAUAUCAAGUGUUCUGUGCAAGCAGAAACUAGAGGCCUAAUGAAACCAGCUCUGAAUAUGGAGAAGGAAAAGAGAAAUGGGGAAGGGAGGAGAAGGGGAGAGGGAUAAAAUGCUUUACUACCAGAGACUCAUCAAACAGGAAAGUAAAGUUAGGUCAUUUGAAGGGAGGAUGGCUCACCUGGACUCCACACUGCUUCCCUCAACCUCAGCAUGUGAGACAUGCUUCAUACCACAACUCAGGAGACAGGAUUGGGGGUGUGGCUUUGGAUGGGGGAGAGUGGAAGCCCAUAGAAGUGAGAUCAUGAGAUCACAGGGAAGAGAUAAGAUGGGGAGGGUGCACGCAGGUCAAGAAGGAGGACCAUCAGAAGUGGGCUGAGAAAGAAGGGACAGUAAAGAGCAAAACUAAUAGCGACCAAAAAAGGGGAAAAGAGGAAAAGAUAAAGAAAGACAGAGAAGCUGAGGGUGGUUCUGAAAGAGGAAGAGCAGGUCUCCACUAUGCUGUCCCAUGUACUUGCCCUCUCGGCCACUCCUUAGCUGCCUGACGAUCAGACUGGUGCCAUAAAACUAUGGUCAUAGGACAUUUCUCUUAUGGCACCCAUAGACGAGAUAGAGGUUCCAUAGCAUGAUUCAGUUUGGGUAAGUCUGCACCAUGAUGCUAACAGUCAGCCAGCCAAGGGUGCCUUUCUCAAAAGGGACACAUAACCAUGUUUCUGGCAAAGGGAUGAUGAGUGAGAACUAUGUGUCAUUUAAGAGCAGAACAAGUUUGCUUCUUUCUCUGCAGCCCUUCUAAGUGACUCAUAGGAUGCCAGCUACACUCUCACAAAGUGAACCAAGCCAGAGACGAAGAGCUUCCCUGGGAUUGUUCAAGAAAAACAUCUUCCCACUGAGACUUGGGAUUCAAAGAAUUGUCCAUUCCUGCCACUUGACCUGACAGUAGAGAGAUGAGUUUACUGCUUAGAUUGCCUCCUGAAGAAUGUGUUAGUCUACUGACUAGGGAGUGAUUACAAUGGGCAGGGAGUCUGUUUGAAUCCACCAUGGCAACACCGACAGACCUCACCACAAAAACUAUUCUAAACCAAACAGAAGGCACGCCUCAGUAAUAUCUCCUUGUGUGUGGUGGUAUUUAAUACCGUGUUUUUAACUAUUGUCACUAAUGUAAGAGAAGAGUAAUGCAGAGAGAAGUCCUAUAAUACCAACUUUCCCAUCAGUCUCACUCACAAAUUAAACAUCCCAAUCUUUCUUGGGGCUAGGGUUCCGUUGAUAGAAUGCUUGCCUAGCAUGCGAAAAGUCCUGGUUCUAUCCCUGGCAGCACAUAAACUGGGCAUGAUGGCUCACAUAUAUAAUCCCAGUACAUGAGAGGAGAAAGCAGGAAAGUUAGAAAUUCAGGUUCAUUUCUAGAUGCAUAAAGUUUGAGGCCAGCCCUAGGCUACAUGAGACCCUUUUUGUUAAAAAAGAGCAAAAACCAAACAACAUUUCUGAAUUAUAAUGUCCUUGUAUGUAUUUGAAAAUACAUACUACUACUACUUUGAAAAUAUCAUUUAUAUAAGAUAUGAUAAUGUAUGCCUGUAAAGUCAGCACUAAGGCAGUGACUGCAAGUUAGAGGUUAACCCAGGAAAUAACAAGACCCUGUCUCAAAUAAAACAAAACAAAAAGAUUGCCAUCUAGCCUAUCUUGAGAUUAGACUGCAAAGGGUAGCAUAUCUACCGUCUGCCCCUGUAAUUCUAGAACACACUUCUUCAGAGUCGAGUCUUGGCACAAAUAACUCGGGUUAACUCCUUAGCCCACAGGACUUUGAGGGGAAACGGAAGCAUCUCAGAGGGAAGAGGGAUUGAGGCUAGGGCUGACCAACUGAAGGUAUUCUAACAAACGGUGAAUUUCAGGUGACAUCGUCAAGCAGUAAUUGUCAUUAGAAUUCAGCUCUGCACAUAGGGUGAUUCAUGCCUUUUGCAGAAGUGACCAAUACAGAUGUUGGGCCAUAAAUUUCAGGAAGUUAAACUGCGUGCUGUCACAUAAAUCUUAAGGGACGUUCUUGGUGUCUUUCAUCUAGUCUGCUUAAUAUGUCAGGCUGACUCACUUGUACAUUCUGGUGCUUCAAGUACCAUCUAGCUCUAAAGCCUUUUUCGAGAUCCCCUUUCCCCAUCACAAGAUAACUAGAAUGGCCUAUAUGAAACCUAAUCCUAAGCGGUCGUCCUGCGUUGUGCUCUCAGGCUCUCUUUGGCUCUCAAGCAAAGGUUGAACUCCCAAACACACCCCUCAACGCUCUCUGACAUCUGCCCAACCCUCCACCUCCUCUCCCUCAUCCAUUGGAACUAGUCCCAGCCCCUACCAAUAAUCCUACGUCUUACACAUGGAGUUCCCUCUGUCCUUUCUCUUCUGCAGAUUGAGGCUCAUCGUUAAGAUUCAGCUCUAUUAGGGAUGGAGAGAUGGCUUCACAGUUAGAAGCUCUGAUUGCUCUUCUGAAGACCCUAGUUCAGUUCUCACCUGACAGCUCACAGCCAUCUCUAACUCUGGCUUCAGGGGACCUGGUGCCUUCUUCUGGUCCCUCAAGCACUGCACAAGUGAAACACAGGCAAAACACCCAUGCACAUAAAGAUUUUAAUUAAAAAAUGUGGCUUCUAAUGCUAAUCCCCACACCGAGUACAGACAGGCACACCAUAUGCUCUGAAAAGGGAAUGCUGAACAAGUAAGGAUGCAUUGAAAAGUCAGUGCCAAACUCACCGACUUACUGGUCAUAACUAUCUGUGGGAGGAGUUAUUAAGCUUUUGGUAAUUGCUUCUGUCUAGACGGUAAGCAAGCAAUCUGAAAGCCAUGUAUCCAAACUAAGCUUAAGAAGACAAUCUUUAAAGACACUUGGGAGGAGGCUUACACUAAGUUUAGCAUCACCACCAGAAUGGUAAACAGAAGCAGGACCACUUGUUGUUGGUUUCGGUUUUGGGUUUUUUUGUUUUUUUGUUUUUUUGGUUUGUUUGUUUGUUUGUUCUAGGAGAUGGUUGAAAAGCACCGUUUUCCUGGAAUAUUUUAUAACACUUUAUUACACUGAAGUAUGGGUAGGAGGCGCAAUUGUGUCCCAGUGCCCGUGUGGCGAUCAGAAGACCAUGUAGGUGUCUGUCUUCUUCCACCAUAUGGGUCCUGGGGAUGGAACUCAGGUCACACAAGGCUUGUCAGCACAGGAUGUUACCUCACGAGCCAUCUCAUCUAACCUCAAGAGAGUUUUGUUUCUUGCACAACCCAGAAGACUACUAGACACUUUGAGAUUAAAAAUAAGCCAGUUUUGAGGCUUUAGGGCAUAAACUGAUAUUCGAAAAGAACAUCAGCUGUUCACUUAGAAACUGAGGCAGUGAUUAGUCGUGGGUAGUGUAUAGCUCGUGUAUACUCCGGACAACUUUAAGAAAUGAAUCAACCUUUAGUAGAGAUCCUAUCACUUCUCCACACACAACCCGAACCAUAGCAAUUGGUUUUGUUUGAAAUGUUUAGUUUCAAACCCGAUUCCUGCUGUUGUUCUUGUUGUUCUUGUUGUUGCGGUCGUCGUCGUCGUCCUCGUCGUUUUCCAUAGUGGGUAGCUGGCACUGAGGAAGGAGAAGCUGAGAAACUAAGGUGGGUUACACAGUGAAGCAGUGGUGGGGCUCCCCAAAUCAAGGCAGAGACGAAGAGGAUCAGAGAAGGAAACUUCAUGAGGAAAAUAAAGGGAAAGCUAAAUGAGGUGUUAGCCAGAAUCAUCAUAAGUUGGAAGAAACUUGAAUGUGCAUUGUUUCCCUCUGGAGGCGUGGCUAUAAUUGUGUUCAUGAUUCUAAAGGGUUAUGCUUGGCUUGGGUUGUUUUUUUUUUUUUUAUGCUGAUUCUAACUGAGCCAAUAUGAGUACACCUCGCAAAGUCAACCUUCCAAGUCAACUUAAACUUAAACUUAAAGCUUUAAAUAAAUGUAGUUUCCUACAGCUAAGAUUUUAACAACUAGAGUUUUGCUGCGAUGAAUAUACAUCUUAAGGUUUAAGUCAAAAUUCCCUGGUACUAAUAAAACCUCUUUGGGGGAUUACAGGACUGUGCUUAGCAACAGAUCCAAACUGAAUCUACACAUAACAAAAUAUGAGAUAGGUCAGAUGUAAAUUCAGAAACAAGAGGAUUUAGAUUUUUUUUUAAAUGAGAUCUAGAAACUAAGUUUACAUAUUGUUUAAUUCAAUCCCAACAAUGGAACAGAUACGGUGCUGAGGCCCAGGGAGGCUUGGAAACGUUAUUUGGCUUGUUAUGGCCACGUACAGACGAGAACCUAGGCUCUAAUUCCCAACAAGUCUCUCUGAUGACUGCUCCACGCCUGGGUAAAACUCAGAGCCUCCUACUGAAGACAUUUCCAUCAAAGUGACCCAAGUUCAACAUGUGGCUGUUGAAACACGGCCGAAGUGGCAUUAAUGAAGUUUGGAGUGUGUUUCUGGGUGUGACAGAAUGCUGGUGACACAGUAAUUUCUUGUCAACACCUCCCGGAAGCUGCUCUGGUACCCUUCUAAUUGCCAUGCUCACCAGCAGGCAGGCUAAAGGUUCAGCUUUUACAAGUGUCCCUUUCCCUAUAAUAACACCCACGUGACAUUUAGAAAAGUUCACUCUGCUAGGAUCCUGGGUAUCCCUAAAAAGUGAGAGCCUUGUGGAAAAGCAAGGCGGGGAGGGUGCAGUGGAAGAUAAUUCCAAAGCAAGCCCAGAGAAUGGAAGUGGCUGGCAGCUCCAUGCUACCCUUCUGUUGCUAAGGCCGCGGGGUUCCAUGGUUACCGAACUCUGGAGUCACCUCAAACCUGGUGAAGUGUUCCGAUAGACUUUCUUCUUUGAUCUGGGUAGGAGUCUGAGAUUCCUGUUAGGGUCUCAAGAGCGAUGGCUUUGCGGAGAAACAUCACAGAAGCCACCCCCAGUCAAGGCUGUGCAGAGAAACUAAACAGAGCUCAGAACGCAGCUGGAGUGUCCAUCCUCGCCCUCCGGUCCGACCGGGCAGGUCCCCCCUGCCCGGCGAUUUUCUGGCUCCCCAGCAGCCGCUUGCCAGCCAGGCCAUAAAUACCCCGGCGAUUAUUAAACAAACCUUGACGUGGCGGCCGGCUGCCAAGGACCCGCGGCUAGCGUCCGAGCAACGCCCCGCCCCCAACUCCUCGCGCCUAGCCUUGGGACCUUGGGGACCCGCCACUACCGCGACCUCCCCCAACCCCCACCGUGGCGCUGCGGGCCCAGGGCGAAGGCAUCGAAGCCAUCGGAACUCCCUCUGAAGGACAUCCAGACCUUGGGGUGAAGAAAAACAACCAACACCCAUCAGUGGAAGAAUCAGCUGGUUCAGAUGGACGCCAAAGGCACGUUCCUCAGCUGGGAAGCACUGAAACCAAGGUUGCCUGUGUAGUGCCAAUGCCUGCGUGCAUUCUCUCUGGCCAGACCAGAAUUAUCUUCCUGCUCCAUGCCCAGUUUGCCUAAAAUACACAGAAAAAUGCAGAAA
Molecule: long non-coding RNA, 7694 nt
Organism: Rattus norvegicus (Norway rat)
Lineage: Eukaryota; Metazoa; Chordata; Mammalia; Rodentia; Muridae
Source: RefSeq, a predicted model, not a curated record